RNAcentral lists this unclassified non-coding RNA (252 nucleotides) under uncultured fungus. Its description in RNAcentral is "partial contains 5.8S ribosomal RNA, internal transcribed spacer 2, and large subunit ribosomal RNA". The stretch from base 1 to 52 matches the Rfam family "5.8S ribosomal RNA", at positions 103 to 154 of the family's 154-position model. The record is from RNAcentral. Lineage: Eukaryota; Fungi.
AACGCACAUUGCGCCCGCCAGUAUUCUGGCGGGCAUGCCUGUCCGAGCGUCAUUUCAACCCCUCAAGCCCUGCUUGGUGUUGGGGACCGACCGCCCCCGGGCGCCGUCGGCCCUGAAAUGAAGUGGCGGUCCCGCCGUGGAACCUCUGCGUAGUAGCAACACCUCGCACUGGAGAGCGGCGGCGGCCACGCCCAACCCCCCAAAUCUUUCAAGGUUGACCUCGGAUCAGGUAGGAAUACCCGCUGAACUUAA